RNAcentral lists this ribosomal RNA (253 nucleotides) under uncultured bacterium. Its description in RNAcentral is "partial 16S ribosomal RNA". It matches the Rfam family "Bacterial small subunit ribosomal RNA", at positions 524 to 776 of the family's 1533-position model. The record is from RNAcentral.
GACAAACCGUGCGAACGUUGUUCGGAUUCACUGGGCUUAAAGGGCGCGUAGGCGGCUUGCCAAGUCAGUGGUGAAAUCUUUCGGCUCAACCGGAAAAUGGCUGCUGAUACUGGCAGGCUGGAGGGAGGUAGGGGCAGAUGGAACUUCCGGUGGAGCGGUGAAAUGCGUAGAUAUCGGAAGGAACGCCGGUGGCGAAAGCGAUCUGCUGGACCUCUUCUGACGCUGAUGCGCGAAAGCCAGGGGAGCAAACGGG